UCUGGUUGAUCCUGCCAGAAGUUAUAUGCUUGUUUCAAGGAUUAAGCCAUGCAUGUCUAAGAAUAAAGUAAUCUAAGCUGAAUCUGCGUACGGCUCAUUAAACCAGCAAUGAUCUACCCUGGAAAGUGAGGCUUCGGCCUUGCCAUUCGGAUAUCCACUCGAAACGGGUGGUUAAUACGUGGAAGAAAAGAGCCGCCUCCAUUCAACCAGUGCUAGGGGAAACCCGAGCUGGGGAGGCGGUUUGGUGUGGACCGAAACAAAAACCGACGCCCGCAAGGGCAGUUUCAUGACAUCGGUGAAUCAGGUCCACUUAUUACCUAAAGCGCAGUUCACUGCGCGUUCCAGGACGAACUUCUGCCCUAUCAGCUAUGAUGGUUGUGUAGUGGACAACCAUGGCGGUCACGGGUAACGGAGAAUCAGGGUUCGAUUGGUACUUAAACCCACCACUGAGUAACGAUUGGAGGGCAAGUCUGGUGCCAGCAGCCGCGGUAAUUCCAGCUCCAAGAGCGUAUGCUAAUGCUGUUGCUGUUAAAAAGCUCGUAGUUGGAUUCUGAGUUGAAGGUUGCACCCGGCCUUUCUACCGGGCGUCCUCUGGGCGCUCCGGUCAGAUUGGGUACAACCGAGUGCUUUCGACCUUCACUCUACACACGCGGAAACGAUUCCUCUGCGGAAGCCUCCUUCACUGGUGGUGGAAGCAACAUUACGGGACCACAAGUUCCCAUAAAGAGGCGUCCGCGAUUGUUACUGUGAACAAAACAGCGUGUUCAAAGCAUCCGUUUGGCUGAAUGAUCUAGCAUGGAAUAACAAGGGAUCGACCCUUUUGGUCUUCUUUUUGUCGGUUUUGAUUUCCCCAAGGGGCAAUCAAGGGCGGAGUAACCAUCUGGCCUCUUGUUGCGCUGGCUUCGGCCACGUGCUCAGGAACCAAAUGGUCUCCGUUCCGUCGGUAUUAAUAGGAGCAAGCGGGGUGGUACGUAUUGCUGCGUUAGUGGUGAAAUACUUAGACCGCAGCAGGACGAACAACAGCGAAGGCAUUCUGCAAGUUUGCUUUCAUUAAUCAAGAACGAGAGUGU
This 1070-nucleotide ribosomal RNA is filed under the name uncultured soil eukaryote. Its description in RNAcentral is "partial small subunit ribosomal RNA". It matches the Rfam family "Eukaryotic small subunit ribosomal RNA", at positions 1 to 992 of the family's 1831-position model. The record is from RNAcentral.